This 598-nucleotide long non-coding RNA is filed under the name Glycine max (soybean). RNAcentral describes it as "long non-coding RNA (GMAX_LNC002631)". The record is from RNAcentral. Lineage: Eukaryota; Viridiplantae; Streptophyta; Magnoliopsida; Fabales; Fabaceae.
UCUUUUUGUCCCUCCAUUUUUUUGUCUCGUUUUGUUUUGUUGCCAUCGCUACUGUUUGCAUUGCAGAUGCAGUGUCGUACCUAUUAGUCCUUGUUGCUCUAACAUAUGUCACUCCUUUAUUGGCGAAUUUUUAACUCCCCAUUUAAUUCCACUUAAUAAUCCGAAUCAAUUCCUCUCUCUGUCUUUCUCUUUCUCAUUACUCUCUCUUCCUCAAUCUUCUCAUUCUCCGUCUUUCUCUUUCUCUUCCUUAAUCUUCUCCUCUUUUUCUUUUAUCUCUUAUCUUUUUGUUUCUUCCUUCAUCUCACUUAAUAUAUUUCUCUUUCAAUCUUUUCCUUCAAAUCUAUUUGAAGUUUUUGUAGUUCUCUGAAUCAUGGAGAUCGCGUCUUCGAAUUUCCUCACACUUAUAUGGAUUGUCGCUCGAGGAAGAGAGCGAGAUUAGGCUACGACAUCCCUGAAGUUCCCAAGAUAACUUUUUGAUCCUAAAAUCUGAGUUUUUGAUAUUUUUUCUUCUUCUUUUUCUUGCGCUUUUAUCUUUUCAGGUUGUAGAUCUGGUGCAAUUUAUGCAAAUUAGGUAUGUUUGAUUCAGGUAACAUGCUUU